RNAcentral lists this ribosomal RNA (728 nucleotides) under uncultured endophytic bacterium. RNAcentral describes it as "bacterial SSU rRNA". It matches the Rfam family "Bacterial small subunit ribosomal RNA", at positions 771 to 1504 of the family's 1533-position model. The record is from RNAcentral.
AACAGGAUUAGAUACCCUGGUAGUCCACGCCCUAAACGAUGUCAACUAGUUGUUGGGUCUUCAUUGACUUAGUAACGUAGCUAACGCGUGAAGUUGACCGCCUGGGGAGUACGGUCGCAAGAUUAAAACUCAAAGGAAUUGACGGGGACCCGCACAAGCGGUGGAUGAUGUGGAUUAAUUCGAUGCAACGCGAAAAACCUUACCUACCCUUGACAUGGUCGGAACCCUGCUGAAAGGUGGUGGUGCUCGAAAGAGAACCGAUACACAGGUGCUGCAUGGCUAUCGUCAGCUCGUGUCGUGAGAUGUUGGGUUAAGUCCCGCAACGAGCGCAACCCUUGUCCUUAGUUGCUACGCAAGAGCACUCUAAGGAGACUGCCGGUGACAAGCCGGAGGAAGGUGGGGACGACGUCAAGUCCUCAUGGCCCUUAUGGGUAGGGCUUCACACGUCAUACAAUGGUCGGAACAGAGGGCUGCCAACCCGUGAGGGGGAGCUAAUCCCAGAAAACCGAUCGUAGUCCGGAUCGUAGUCUGCAACUCGACUACGUGAAGCUGGAAUCGCUAGUAAUCGCGGAUCAGCAUGCCGCGGUGAAUACGUUCCCGGGUCUUGUACACACCGCCCGUCACACCAUGGGAGUGGGUUUUACCAGAAGUGGCUAGUCUAACCGCAAGGAGGACGGUCACCACGGUAGGAUUCAUGACUGGGGUGAAGUCGUAACAAGGUAGCCGUA